RNAcentral lists this small RNA (614 nucleotides) under Plasmodium praefalciparum (nom. ined.). RNAcentral's name for it is "Plasmodium sp. gorilla clade G1 small nucleolar RNA". Lineage: Eukaryota; Apicomplexa; Aconoidasida; Haemosporida; Plasmodiidae. The record is from RNAcentral.
AAAAAGAUGAUGAUAACUAAUAUUAUACAAGAAGAAAGAGAAGAAGCAAGAAAAAAAAAAAAAAAAUAAAAUAAAAUAAAAUAACUGAAACUUGAAAUAAGUGGCGAAAGAUAUUUCAAAUUUCAUUAUACAAAAUAUUUCUUUUUUCUUUUUUUUUUUUCUUUUAGAAGAUAUAAUCUUAAUUAUAUUUUAUAAAAUAAAUUAAAAAAAAAAAUAUAAUUGUAAAAUCUUCUUAACAAGAACAAAUACAAAACAUUUUGUAUUCUUAUUAUUUCAUUAAUGAAAUGAUAAUUUACAAACUUGAUAAAAUAGAAAAAAUUAAAAAAUAAAAUAAAUCUUUACGAAUGUUAGAGAUAAUUUUUAUAUAUUUUAUUUUUUACCUAUUUAUCAAAACACCAAAAGGAAAAAAAAAAGAAAAGGAAUAAAUCAAUAAAUAAAUAUAUAUAUAUAUAUAUAUAUAUAUUUUAUAUAUAUACAUAUUUGUCAAUUGGACAAAAUUGUUUGCUCCUUUGACACAGUAUGAAUUUUUUUUUUUUUUCUUUUUUUGCUUCUUCUCAUUUCUAUUAUCAUGAUUGAAGAAUGGAAAAAAUCUUUGGUAAUCUGAUUUUUAAUGA